RNAcentral lists this ribosomal RNA (798 nucleotides) under Staphylococcus sp. RNAcentral's name for it is "bacterial SSU rRNA". It matches the Rfam family "Bacterial small subunit ribosomal RNA", at positions 79 to 861 of the family's 1533-position model. Lineage: Bacteria; Bacillati; Bacillota; Bacilli; Caryophanales; Staphylococcaceae. The record is from RNAcentral.
CUUGCUCCUCUGACGUUAGCGGCGGACGGGUGAGUAACACGUGGAUAACCUACCUAUAAGACUGGGAUAACUUCGGGAAACCGGAGCUAAUACCGGAUAAUAUAUUGAACCGCAUGGUUCAAUAGUGAAAGACGGUUUUGCUGUCACUUAUAGAUGGAUCCGCGCCGCAUUAGCUAGUUGGUAAGGUAACGGCUUACCAAGGCAACGAUGCGUAGCCGACCUGAGAGGGUGAUCGGCCACACUGGAACUGAGACACGGUCCAGACUCCUACGGGAGGCAGCAGUAGGGAAUCUUCCGCAAUGGGCGAAAGCCUGACGGAGCAACGCCGCGUGAGUGAUGAAGGUCUUCGGAUCGUAAAACUCUGUUAUUAGGGAAGAACAAAUGUGUAAGUAACUAUGCACGUCUUGACGGUACCUAAUCAGAAAGCCACGGCUAACUACGUGCCAGCAGCCGCGGUAAUACGUAGGUGGCAAGCGUUAUCCGGAAUUAUUGGGCGUAAAGCGCGCGUAGGCGGUUUUUUAAGUCUGAUGUGAAAGCCCACGGCUCAACCGUGGAGGGUCAUUGGAAACUGGAAAACUUGAGUGCAGAAGAGGAAAGUGGAAUUCCAUGUGUAGCGGUGAAAUGCGCAGAGAUAUGGAGGAACACCAGUGGCGAAGGCGACUUUCUGGUCUGUAACUGACGCUGAUGUGCGAAAGCGUGGGGAUCAAACAGGAUUAGAUACCCUGGUAGUCCACGCCGUAAACGAUGAGUGCUAAGUGUUAGGGGGUUUCCGCCCCUUAGUGCUGCAGCUAACGCAUU